Molecule: small nucleolar RNA, 138 nt
Organism: Tachyglossus aculeatus (Australian echidna)
Lineage: Eukaryota; Metazoa; Chordata; Mammalia; Monotremata; Tachyglossidae
Source: RefSeq, a predicted model, not a curated record
UCCCUCUCAGGGUCACACCUGGAGAGUUUCCAGUCCUCUACCAGUCUUGGCUGUGGGAGGGAGAGUCAGGCAGAGGUCUACCCAUUCCAUUCCUAGCUUGCCCAGUGGCUAGCCAGUGGAAGGCAAUCUUCUACAAGU